AGGACUGGCUCUUCAAGAUGCAUA
Molecule: non-coding RNA, 24 nt
Filed under: Arabidopsis thaliana (thale cress)
Lineage: Eukaryota; Viridiplantae; Streptophyta; Magnoliopsida; Brassicales; Brassicaceae
Source: RNAcentral